RNAcentral lists this long non-coding RNA (378 nucleotides) under Anas platyrhynchos platyrhynchos (common mallard). Its description in RNAcentral is "lncRNA (ENSAPLG00000030783.1)". The record is from RNAcentral. Lineage: Eukaryota; Metazoa; Chordata; Aves; Anseriformes; Anatidae.
ACAGCCUGCUGGUGAUGGCUCGCACCCGGCGGACUGUGAGAGCGUAUUUUCCCUCCUGGUGAGCUGAAACGAAGCAGAAGCUGCCCAACAGCAAGCUUUGAAGAUGAAUACCUGAAGUGCUGCAAGUCAGAUUAAAGCAUAGGCACCAGCAGUGCAUGCCAAGGCUCUGUUUGCAGAACCGUGAAGCAAUGCCAAGCCUCCUGCUUCCAAUUACACAAGCCUCAUACCUCCUGCUCCAGAGACUGCAGGCACAGAUUUGACCACCUUUCCUCACCAGCCAUUUCCGAGGGGGGGUCAGGAGAAGAGCGCUGCGGGUUCAGCCCAGCUUGUGCUGCUGCAGACAAGCUGGCGUGUCCUGGUCACCGGGGUAUGAGGUGA